This 40-nucleotide transfer RNA is filed under the name Psathyrostachys juncea. RNAcentral describes it as "partial tRNA-Lys". The record is from RNAcentral. Lineage: Eukaryota; Viridiplantae; Streptophyta; Magnoliopsida; Poales; Poaceae.
CCGGGUUCGAGUCCCGGGCAACCCAUAUGGAAAAUAGAAA